RNAcentral lists this ribosomal RNA (253 nucleotides) under uncultured bacterium. Its description in RNAcentral is "partial 16S ribosomal RNA". It matches the Rfam family "Bacterial small subunit ribosomal RNA", at positions 524 to 776 of the family's 1533-position model. The record is from RNAcentral.
UACGGGAGGUGCGAGCGUUGUUCGGAAUGACUGGGCGUAAAGCGCACGUAGGCGGGUCUUUAAGUCGCAUGUGAAAGCCCCGGGCUUAACCUGGGAAUCGCAUACGAAACUGAAGAUCUUGAAUACCUGAGAGGUUCAUGGAAUUCUUGGUGUAGGAGUGAAAUCCGUAGAUAUCAAGAGGAACACCGGAGGCGAAGGCGGUGAACUGGUGGUGUAUUGACGCUGAGGUGCGAAAGCGUGGGUAGCAAACAGG